AGCUCCUACGGGGCGCAGCAGUGAGGAAUAUUGGUCAAUGGGCGCAAGCCUGAACCAGCCAAGUCGCGUGAGGGAUGACGGUCCUAUGGAUUGUAAACCUCUUUUGUCGGGGAGCAAGGCCCGCCACGUGUGGCGGGAAGGAGAGUACCCGAAGAAAAAGCAUCGGCUAACUCCCUGCCAGCAGCCGCGGUAAUACGGAGGAGGCGAGCGUUCUCCUGAUUUAUUGGGAUUAUAGGGUGCGUUGGCGGAAGGGUUAGUCAGCGGUCAAAUGUCGGUGCUCAAUAC
This 285-nucleotide ribosomal RNA is filed under the name uncultured bacterium. RNAcentral describes it as "partial 16S ribosomal RNA". It matches the Rfam family "Bacterial small subunit ribosomal RNA", at positions 335 to 615 of the family's 1533-position model. The record is from RNAcentral.